UGGGGAAUAUUGCACAAUGGGCGCAAGCCUGAUGCAGCAACGCCGCGUGAGGGAUGACGGCCUUCGGGUUGUAAACCUCUUUUAGCAGGGAAGAAGCGAAAGUGACGGUACCUGCAGAAAAAGCACCGGCUAACUACGUGCCAGCAGCCGCGGUAAUACGUAGGGUGCAAGCGUUGUCCGAAUUAUUGGGGCGUAAAGAGCUCGUAGGCGGUCUGUCGCGUCUGCUGUGAAAUUCCCGAGGCUCAACCUCGGGCCUGCAGUGGGUACGGGCAGACUAGAGUGCGGUAGGGGAGAAUGGAAGCUCCUGGUGUAGCGGUGGAAUGCGCAGAUAUCAGGAAGAACACCGAUGGCGAAGGCAGUUCUCUGGGCCNUAACUGACGCUGAGGAGC
This 389-nucleotide ribosomal RNA is filed under the name uncultured bacterium. RNAcentral's name for it is "partial 16S ribosomal RNA". It matches the Rfam family "Bacterial small subunit ribosomal RNA", at positions 355 to 754 of the family's 1533-position model. The record is from RNAcentral.